This 580-nucleotide ribosomal RNA is filed under the name uncultured beta proteobacterium. RNAcentral describes it as "bacterial SSU rRNA". It matches the Rfam family "Bacterial small subunit ribosomal RNA", at positions 56 to 633 of the family's 1533-position model. The record is from RNAcentral. Lineage: Bacteria; Pseudomonadati; Pseudomonadota; Betaproteobacteria.
UGCAAGUCGAACGGUAACAGGUCUUCGGAUGCUGACGAGUGGCGAACGGGUGAGUAAUACAUCGGAACGUGCCUGGUAGUGGGGGAUAACUACUCGAAAGAGUAGCUAAUACCGCAUGAGAUCUACGGAUGAAAGCAGGGGACCUUCGGGCCUUGUGCUACCAGAGCGGCUGAUGGCAGAUUAGGUAGUUGGUGGGGUAAAGGCUUACCAAGCCUGCGAUCUGUAGCUGGUCUGAGAGGACGACCAGCCACACUGGGACUGAGACACGGCCCAGACUCCUACGGGAGGCAGCAGUGGGGAAUUUUGGACAAUGGGCGAAAGCCUGAUCCAGCAAUGCCGCGUGCAGGAUGAAGGCCCUCGGGUUGUAAACUGCUUUUGUACGGAACGAAAAGCCUGGGGCCAAUACCCCCGGGUCAUGACGGUACCGUAAGAAUAAGCACCGGCUAACUACGUGCCAGCAGCCGCGGUAAUACGUAGGGUGCAAGCGUUAAUCGGAAUUACUGGGCGUAAAGCGUGCGCAGGCGGUUUUGUAAGACAGUGGUGAAAUCCCCGGGCUCAACCUGGGAACUGCCAUUGUGAC